AGGACGAACGCUGGCGGCGUGCUUAACACAUGCAAGUCGAGCGGAAAGGCCCUUCGGGGUACUCGAGCGGCGAACGGGUGAGUAACACGUGAGUAAUCUGCCCUUAGCUCUGGGAUAGCUCCGGGAAAACCGGGAUUAAUACCAGAUACGACCACUUUAGACAUCUGCCGUGGUGGAAAGAAUUUCGGCUAAGGAUGAGCUCGCGGCCUAUCAGCUUGUUGGUGGGGUAACGCCUACCAAGGCGACGACGGGUAGCCGGCCUGAGAGGGCGACCGGCCACACUGGGACUGAGACACGGCCCAGACUCCUACGGGAGGCAGCAGUGGGAAUAUUGCGCAAUGGGCGAAAGCCUGACGCAGCGACGCCGCGUGGGGGAUGAAGGCCUUCGGUUGUAACCCUUUCAGCAGGACGAAGCGAAGUGACGGUACCUGCAGAAGAAGCGCCGGCUAACUACGCGCCAGCAGCCGC
This 468-nucleotide ribosomal RNA is filed under the name uncultured bacterium. Its description in RNAcentral is "SSU rRNA". It matches the Rfam family "Bacterial small subunit ribosomal RNA", at positions 26 to 518 of the family's 1533-position model. The record is from RNAcentral.